AUAAUACUCCCUCCGUUCCAAAAUUCUUGUCUUAGAAUUGUCUAGAUACAGAUGUAUCUAACACUAAAAUGUAACUAGAUACAUCCGUAUUUGGAAAAAUAUAAGACAAGAAUUUUGGGACCAAGGAAGUAUAAA
Triticum urartu is the source of this 135-nucleotide non-coding RNA. NCBI's taxonomy places the organism in Eukaryota, Viridiplantae, Streptophyta, Magnoliopsida, Poales, Poaceae. The record is from Rfam.